AUUGAACGCUGGCGGCAGGCCUAACACAUGCAAGUCGAAUGGUAACACUAAACGGCUUGCUGUUUCACUGACGAGUGGCGCACGGGUGCGUACUGUCUGGUUCACUGUCUCAUGGAGGGGGUUAACUACUUGCAACGUUAGCUAAUACCGCAUAACGUCUCAAGACCAAAGAUGGGGACCUUCCGGCUUCUUUCCAUCAUAUGUUUCUAGGUGGGAUUAGCUAGUAUCUGGGGUAACGCCUCACCUAUGCGCCGAUCCCUAGCUGGUCUGAGAGGAUGACCAGCCACACUGGAACUGAGACACGGUCGAGACUCCUACGGGAGGCAGCAGUGGGGAAUAUUGCACAAUGGGGGAAAGCCUGAUGCAGCCAUGCGGCGGGUAUGAAGAAGGACUUCGGGUGGGAAAGUAAUGUCAGCGGGGAGGAAGGGAGUAAAGUUAAUACCUGUGGUCAUUGACGGUACCCGAAGAAGAAGCACCGGCUAACUCCGUG
RNAcentral lists this ribosomal RNA (490 nucleotides) under uncultured bacterium. Its description in RNAcentral is "partial 16S ribosomal RNA". It matches the Rfam family "Bacterial small subunit ribosomal RNA", at positions 30 to 507 of the family's 1533-position model. The record is from RNAcentral.